This 27-nucleotide small RNA is filed under the name Bombyx mori (domestic silkworm). RNAcentral's name for it is "piRNA piR-bmo-1607948". The record is from RNAcentral. Lineage: Eukaryota; Metazoa; Arthropoda; Insecta; Lepidoptera; Bombycidae.
UCGAGAUUUUGGCAGCGGCGUCCGUGA